Molecule: long non-coding RNA, 1501 nt
Filed under: Salmo salar (Atlantic salmon)
Lineage: Eukaryota; Metazoa; Chordata; Actinopteri; Salmoniformes; Salmonidae
Description: lncRNA (ENSSSAG00000092254.1, ENSSSAG00000116794.1)
Source: RNAcentral
UGCUAAGGCUGUGUCCCAUAUGGCACUCUAUUCCCUAUAUAGUUCACUACUUUAUACCUGAGCCCUAUGGAUCUUUGCCAAAAGUAGUGCACUAUAUAAGGAAGAGGGUUCCAUUUGAGUGACAGCCAUUUGAGUGUUUACAGUCAAUAUGGUAGAAUACCAAUGAGUUAGAUGAACCAUGUGUGACAGAGAUACUGGGAGAGAAGGUGACAAAGAGACGCGGAGAGAAGGUGACAGAGAGAUGGGGAGAGAAGGUGACAGAGAGACAGGGAGAGAAGGUGACAGAGAGACGGGGAGAGAAGGUGACAGAGACAGGGAGAGAAGGUGACAGAGAGACAUCCUGAGAGAAGGUGACAGAGACAGGGAGAGAAGGUGACAGAGAGACAGGGAGAGAAGGUGACAGAGAGACGGGGAGAGAAGGUGACAGAGAGACAGGGAGAGAAGGUGACAGAGAGACAGGGAGAGAAGGUGACAGAGAGACAGGGAGAGAAGGUGACAGAGAGACGGGGAGAGAAGGUGACAGAGAGACAGGGAAAGAAGGUGACAGAGAGACAGGGAGAGAAGGUGACAGAGAGACAGGGAGAGAAGGUGACAGAGAGACAGGGAGAGAAGGUGACAGAGAGACAGGGAGAGAAGGUGACAGAGACAGGGAGAGAAGGUGACAGCGAGACGGGGAGCGAAGGUGACAGAGAGACGGGGAGAGAAGGUGACAGACAGGGAGAGAAGGUGACAGAGAGACAUCCUGAGAGAAGUUGACAGAGACAGGGAGUGAAGGUGACAGAGAGACAGGGAGAGAAGGUGACAGAGAGACAGGGAGAGAAGGUGACAGAGAGACGGGGAGAGAAGGUGACAGACAGGGAGAGAAGGUGACAGAGAGAAAGGGAGAGAAGGUGACAGAGAGGGAGAGAAGGUGACAGAGAGACAUCCUGAGAGAAGGUGACAGAGAGACGGGGAAAGAAGGUGACAGAGAGACGGGGAGAGAAGGUGACAGAGAGACGGGGAGAGAAGGUGACAGACAGGGAGAGAAGGUGACAGAGAGACAUCCUGAGAGAAGGUGACAGAGACAGGGAGAGAAGGUGACAGAGAGACAGGGAGAGAAGGUGACAGAGAGACAGGGAGAGAAGGUGACAGAGAGACGGGGAGUGAAGGUGACAGAGAGACGGGGAGAGAAGGUGACAGAGACAGGGAGAGAAGGUGACAGAGAGACGGGGAGAGAAGGUGACAGAGAGACAGGGAGAGAAGGUGACAGAGAGACAGGGAGAGAAGGUGACAGAGAGACGGGGAGAGAAGGUGACAGAGAGACGGGGAGAGAAGGUGACAGAGAGACGGGGAGCGAAGGUGACAGAGAGACAGGGAGAGAAGGUGACAGAGAGACAGGGAGAGAAGGUGACAGAGAGACAGGGAGAGAAGGUGACAGAGAGACAGGGAGAGAAGGUGACAGAGAGACAGGGAGAGAAGGUGACAGAGACAGGGAGAGAAGGUGACAGCGAGACGGGGAGCG